Contarinia nasturtii (swede midge) is the source of this 9486-nucleotide long non-coding RNA. RefSeq lists it as uncharacterized. NCBI's taxonomy places the organism in Eukaryota, Metazoa, Arthropoda, Insecta, Diptera, Cecidomyiidae. The transcript is spliced from 2 exons. The record is from RefSeq and is a predicted model, not a curated record.
CCUUAAUGUACAAUGCAACAUACUGUAUAUAUAAGUUUUGCUUAAUUUCUAAUUAUAUUGAUUUUUUGUACAUAAUUAACACAAAUAACAAAGCAACGAACGAAUCAACUGUUUUGGACAUUCAAAAAGAGAGAAAAUAUGAUAAGAAUAUGCAAAUAAAAACCAAGAAACAAAGAAAAAAACAGUGUUUAAAAUUGAUUCUAUUUAGUUGGCGAUGUGACAUGCAAAUAGGCGAAUACUCUCAAAACUGAAAUAGCCAUAAAAUUCUCAGACACACAUCCAAAUCCGUUAUGCAAUAGUAAUGAAGGCAACACAAAAAUGAAAAAAAAAAAUGGUACAAUAACUGGUAGAUACACACAUACGUUUGGCAAACUAUGGUUUACAAAUUCACUCACUGAUCGAAAUUGAAUGAAAAAAAUUACUACACUUGGGCCGCAUCGUCCGAUCUAAAGUGCCUUCAAAAAAAAAUGUUGAUUUUUUACGAAAAAAUAAAAAUAUACAAAAAGGGCCCGACAUAGACUUCUUGCCCCACCAAAGUAUACGACUAUUUGCAUGCGAUCCACAAAUUAACCGCAAUAUAAAUACAAAUACACAAUCGAUAAAUUUUUGUGUUUAUCAUUUUAUGCCACUAUACCAUCAGUAAGAAAGAAAGAAGAAGAAAAAGAAACAUACAUUGAAAUCCAUUUCGAUCACAAACAAUGAACAACCAACAUACUGCUCGAGAAAUAGCUUAAUAAACUCCAAUAAACAAAAUACAGAAAAAAUUGUUAAAACAAAUAUUUAGCGAACUAAGUUUACUAAUAUAAUUACCAAAUAGUUUACUGGAAAAUUUUAUCAAUUGUCUGCUAUUAUCUGAAUAAGUGAAGAAAGAAAGAGAAAAAAAAUUGCAUUAUCGAUGGAUGGUCAUGCAUUGUUUUGAAGAUAGAUACUAUUCCACAGAUAACUCAAUUAGAAACAUAUUUACGAGCUAUUUGUAUGUUACACAACGCACGGUUCCGUUUACACAUUUUACAGCUCGCACACAUACACAUUGAGUCGCAACUAUUUUGCUGGAUGAGAUAACUGCUGACAAAUAUCUCUCUUAUAAGCAAUGUAUACGGAUCGUAUGUCGCAUGCGGUUUCAACCAAAAACAAAAACAAAAAAAACCUGACCGUAAAUGGUCACUGUUUGAACAUAAUCUAGCUGACAAUUAACAGUCAUUUGAACACACACCGUGCGUCAGCUAGCUCAUCAUCAUACGGCUCAAAUACUGAAUUCGAAAACUAGCAGAGAUUAAAUCAAGUAUUUUGAAAGUUCGACAAACAAUUAAGAUCAAUUUGAAAAUUGUAGUAAGAGAAUACUCGGAGUAAAUUGAAGAAGAAAAACACAUUUUUUCAAAUCAGUUAAAUGGAGUAGCUCAAAUUUGCCAAUUAUUCUGAAUUUUAUAGAAAAUAUUAUAAGAAAAAAAUCUGAUUAUAUGAAAUAACUUCACUAUAUAACCAAAGUAAAGGAUAAAUAUUGAUUGAUAUUAAUGGGAGAAAAUUACUUUCAGAUUAGUCGGCAAAAUUAUGAAGAAUCGAUAUCGAAAAAUAAUGGUCAAAACGAAAAAAAAAAAAAAAUAUAAAUGCCAAAAGAGAAAUUUAAACAAGUGUAAAACACUUACAAAAAUUAAACACACGCAUUCAAACCAGAUUAAAUAUAAUUCGUCAGAUCAGGAUCUAUGUAUAUUUAGUAUAGACGUAAAAAUUAGCGCUACACACAAUAUUGGCAUGGAAGCUCACACAGACAUACACAAUAUACAAUUUAUCCAAUCCAGUCCAAUCCAUACGUGAGGCGGAUAAGGAAGUACAUGAAUAAGUUUUAAUAUUUUCUAUUUUUAUAUUCUGACCAAAAAGACAUGCAAACGGAUUCAAGUCUCAAAAAAUCCAGCAAAGCAACAUCGUCUGCUUGGGUGAAAUAUACAAUAAACUUUUAUGUUCAAUCUUACAUACAGAAUACACACUUUCGUAUCUGACAUUUUUUUUUUUCUUGACCAAAAUAGGAUGUGUGUACUUUUCAUACUCUACGUCAAAAAUAAAAUCACACCCAAAUCGAAAUUAUUGAUCAAAUUUACUUUAUUUCAUUGAAAUGUAUUUCGGUAUAGCUUUUUUUCAAGUGUCAUUUCUACAGAAGAACAACUUUUCCAGUUAAAUUCAGUCGACACACUUCCAACUUCAAAAUCAUAUGAUAAAACAAGCGUCAAAUUAAAAGUUGCGUUUUCUUUGUUCAAAAUCGUACACAAGCAUAUCAGUCAAAGAACAGAGUUUGUUGAAAUUAAUGCGCUCUUCUCAACCAAACUUUCUUUUCUAUAAUGCGGAAUAGCUAUGAAAACUUUAGUUACAUUGUAUCUUAUAUUUUUAACACUCAGAAAAGUACGACGUCUAUUUUAAAGUCAAUUUAUUCAUUAAAUUUCAUUUGGGUGGACAUGAAGAAUUUGUUAAGUUAUUAGUUCAUGAAACAUCAAACUGAAAUUAAAUGCAUUUCAACCAUACGGAAUAAAAAAUUAGAUUUUCUGCUAGAAUCUUCAACGAUUUCAUAGAAUUUUGCCAAUUCAGACGUAUGUUAGAUGUUAAUUGUGAAUUGAGAUAAAACUGCUUCAUUCUCCUCUUAACUUCACUCUGUUCUUCAUUCAAAAAAAAUACAGUACACAUAUAUGAUUGAUCUGAAAUAUUGAAUUGUAUUACUGAUUUGUUUAGUUAUCUUUCGAUCUGAACCUUUUAUAAGGUUACAACCAGUGAUGGUUUUGCGUUAGCCAGCGUUGUCUUAGCCUCGGUGUAUACCAACAUUUGGUGUACACCAAUCGUUAGCCAGCUAACUGUCUACACUGUCUGUGUGACUGUGUAUGAUAGUAUGCGUGUGAAAACGUCCAAUUCUCCUGACGUGUGUUAGUGCUGGCUUACGCAUUCGUUAGCCGGUGUACACAGUGAUGGCAAAUUAGCCAGCUAAUGUGCUCAUCACUGGUUACAACACACAUUUCAAUCUUAUUGAAACUCAGAAUAUCCUUUUAUUUUCGCAUAUUUUAUGCUGAACUUUUCAUUAACCAUCCUUAGUUUAAAUUUUUUUCUCGGUGUAAUUAAAAUGAAAAGCAUACAAUAGACCUAAAGCCCAUUGCAUUCCGACUGUUUUGCUGGAAUUCCAUAUGAUUAAUUUAUCAUUUUGAUCAAUAUUCUUCCUACUUUUGUUUCAAUAUAACAUAAUCAAGGAACAAGUACUACAGAUAAACACAAAUAUGCACAUAAUCAAUGUUUAUUGUGAUUUGUUUUGAAUACAUGAAAAUAAGACAGUUUAAUAACUGACAGUUUUUGACAGAGAAAUUAUAUCUCGAUACACAAUUCAAAUGCGACAAGUUAAGAAAAAAUAUCUUACCAUUAGAUAAAAUAGCAUGUUCCAGUCAUUUAUGUCGUUUGUGUUGCAACUUAUAUGUAAUCCAAUAUGUUUUACUCAUUCAUAACGAUGUCAUUGGCUUCAAAACAAUUGACGUACGAAGUUGAAAACAACAAUAUUUGAACCGGUGUAUUUUGUACAAAUCUCAAUGAACAUUCUAAGUGUAUCAUAAUUAACUUUGAAUAAACCGUUACAUAAGACAAAAUACAUGCAAAACACAAGCACAUAUACGCAAUAAAAAGGAAACAAAGUUUUGGUGAAGCAUUUUAGUUGUUUGAAAACAAUGGCACGACCCUUUCAGUCAAACCAUCGGCAACAGUACAGUUAUAAGUUUACAAUUUUCUUUGGUGGCGCGAACAAUCGGUUCGGAUGCUUGAAAAGCUCUCAAUAAUUUAUUUAUUUUUUAGUAUUAUCAAGCAAUGUUAUAAUUUAAAUGUUUUAAUUUGAAUUUUAUUGGAUACUACAGUGAUUUUCUUGUCUUAUUUAACGCAUAAAUGUAUCUGAUAUUUUGCGAUUCGCAUUUUACUUGAGAAUGUCAUAACUGUUGCAUCAAUGAGACUUGUUUUGAAUACAGUUGUCAUUCGAUCUCAAAGAGUGAAAGAAAAUCAAAAUGGAAGAUAUUUUGAUAUGUGACAAAUGUGAUAUGGUUAAUUGCAAAACGAUCUCUGCUUUUAACUACAUAAUCACUUUCCAAUGAAAGAAGUCAAUAUCUGUUGUUCAAACAUAUUUUUUGUUUUGUUUUUGAACCAAAAUACAUCAAAUAACUAUAGCUAUUAAAAUGAAUUGAUAGACGAAACAAAUCAGCCAAAAGGAAAAUAAAAGAGCAUCAAAGUACUCAUCAUUAAAGCAAUAAUCGAUAAAUAACUUUUCAAAUUUCCAUUUUUUCCACAUUAAAUGAACUAUUAAUUAUAUGUAAUAUGGAAAACGAGAUACUUGAUAAAUUGCACAUCGAAUGUUCACAUGUUUUUCGUUGAGAGUGUCGCCUUUGUCGACGACGAACGGCAACUGUAUAUUUACAAAAAAAAAUUACGAAUAUUUUAUUUCGUAUUACAAAUAACAUGUUGCACACUUCGAAGAUAGAACGAAUAGUCAAGUCCUUUUCUUGUUCAAAUCUGCUUUAAGAUACAUGACUCUUAAAUCUAUGCAACUUAAGAAUUUCUAUAGAAUGCUUAAUUUAAGUAAUUUAAACAUUAUUCAAAAUAAGAUCGUUUUUCUUUCUUUCUUUCAAAAAACAUCAACGAAACCAAGUGAGUCAAACACAAGUUUGAAAUCAUGGUAAAUGUAAAUUGGAAGAAAAAUCCAAAUUGAUUCAAAAUGUAAUGGCGUAAAAGACGUGAGAAGAAACAGAACAUUUGUAUAAGAAGACCAAUUCAUGUCGAGCAUCAUAUUUAUUUUUAGGUACAUUAUGUGAAAUAAGUUUCGAUAAAGUUUGAAAGUAAUACAAAAAAAAAAGAAGUCAUGAUCGAAGCAAAGAUCUUUUGGUUUUAAAUGACAUUUAGGGACUAAGAAUAUACGAAUAAUUGAAUAGCUCACCAUUUUUGCUGUUUCAAAGAAUUAAUUCAAAUGUGUGUCGUAUUACCCGGAAAUAAUCGGAGAUAGUGAAAUAGCAAACAAUUUGCAUAUAUGAUGAAAAGUUCAAUUUGAAAAUAACUAUAAAUAGUACAUCUAUAUUCCGACCAUUUAAGCUCAGCUCGUUCUGAACUGAUUCAUAAAUACAAUGAAAAUGCAUAUGAAAUUUAAAUUUCCACACUUUGAUUAAAAAAAGCAAACUUAAACAUUUUUAUUUAGAUUUAGGCAAACUAAUUAAAUCUUAAUGAAAAAAAAAACAUGAAUGAAAAAUAUAAAACUACACAUAUAUUGCGUACUGUGUAAAAUAUUAUAAUAAUUUUCGCCGCUUUGAGCAAAAAAAAGGCUACAGCUUUCACAGAUGUCAAUGGUUCAGAAUAGCCAAUUGGCUAUUUUUCCAAAAAGAGCCCCAUAUAAAAGCAAUUAAGCGAAUAGCGAGGUGAUAAGAAAGAAGAAUGACCAUAAUAAAGACUUGUGAAUGGAUCCAUUGAAUAAAUUGCAUUGAAAUUGAUUGGAUAUGAACGGGAAAAAAGGUGAAUUUAAACAGAUUCAAAUUUAUAUAGAAAAGGUUGACACGAAAAUGGUCAAUAAAUAUAAAAUACACCGAAACGAAGAAAACAUAACCACCUUCAACCUAAAUAUCUGUAUUUUUGUAUUAGUAUUUUGUAAAAUGUUCAUGUAUGUAUAAAAAUGCAAAGAAAAUUAACAACCAAACAAACAAAACAAAACGAUGCCAAAAGAUGUGCAUUGUCAUUGUAAGUGCGCAAAGCUUACAGAUAAAUACACACCAUCUGUGUCAACGACAAUGUAAAAUAAUGUAAAGAAAAAAAAGAACAGAGAGAAGACACAUUUCGAUACAUUCGUUUACAUUGUACGAAGACUUUUUUUCGGUGAUGUUUUAAGUAUCUGCGAAUAAUGUGCACAUCUUUUGAAUGAAACUUGCAAAGCCUGGGAGAGAUGUGUUGUUCACAAUAUAUUGAUAUAAAAUUCGUCAUAUUCCUACCAAAAGAAUAACGAAUCAUCUCAUACCCAGAGAUAUUUAAAAUUCCAGACGCGAUUAUAGACAAAUUUUAGAUAAAAUAAUUAUUCUCAUUAUUUUUUUUUAUAUAAAAAAGAAUUUAGGCAAAUGGCGUAAAAGCAACAGAGAGAUAUAGAGAAAAAAAGAGAGAUGCGCGAAUGUAAUUUUUAAAAGCUAUUGAGAGACCUGCGAACUUGAUCGAUAAAUUUAUAAUGUAAAUAAAUGAAGAAAAAAUUAAAAUUUUGAUAAACAAAAAGAAUGCAUAAUUUCCAAAUAGAAGACACAUGUUUUUUGGUGAACAAAAAAGACAAUCUUGAAUGAAAUAAAAAAAAAUAGUUUCAACAAACGUGCAAAUAAUACAGCAUAAAAGUAAGAUUUGAUAUCAAGAAUGAUGAACAAGAUAUACAAACCGAAAAAAAGUGAAAUAAUAUCAUUAUUACCACCAUUUGAAAUGUUUCAUUUUUAUCCAGUUUAAAUUAUUGGAUGGUUGUAUAUGCUUGGUUUCAAAUUUUGUUUAUCGUACUGUUUGUACGUUCAUCAAAUUAUUUCACAUUCUGUUGGAAACAAGAAGCAGUAUAUGUUAUACUAUAUUUCUGGGUUUGAAUUUGUCAAUUGACAUGACAACAUGGUGUAUGCUUAGCUAAGUAGCAUGCUAAUCGUAUGCUAGGCAUAAUUUCAAACAGAUUUAUUUGCCUCAUAACAUAAAGACAAGCAAUAUAAAUACACUAUCAACAAAUUAUCAACCCGUAAAUAUUGAUUUGAUUGUUAAAUUUUUUUUUGUGUUUACCAAAAAACAUCAAUCAAAACACGUUAUUAAACACGCUCAUCAUUUUGGAAAGAAACGCUUUUAGUAUAAUCUCUCUGUUGGUUAUUGUUUUUUAUCGUAUCCAAUCAAUUUUAAUCAAUUUGGGUGAAUCUUUGAAUUUCGAUGCAUCCUUAAUAAAAACUAGUAUUGACAUUUCGAGAAUAGAAACACAAAUAUGCUUGAUUGCAUUUUGGGAAAAAACAAAAAAUGAAGAUUAAAGAUUUUAAGUAGUACAUUUAAAUAUGAGCGAUGCAUUUAGUGACAUUUCACUUGGGAUUGGGUUCAUUGAUACACACGCUCAAUGGGUGCUCUGUCGGGGCAUUCAUUUAUUUUCAUGUCUUUUUUCACAUAUCUUCUCAUCUUAUUCUCCUUUCUUUAUUCCUUCGCUUACAUUUGUGUAUACUUAAAGCAUUUCGAAAAGGAAAACAAUCAAAAAUUGUCAACUGAUAAUCCAAAUCACUACGUUAAAUUAUUUACUAAAAAAACAUUAUGUAUUGUGCAGCAGUGAUUUUAGUAUAUCGAUUUCAGUUCAAAAAUGAAACCGCAAAACAUUGAACUAUUGCACAAGUAUCAUCUAAGAAUGCUGUGAUAGCCGUUCAAUAUAUAUGUGUGUUUAUGAAUUCGAACAAAAAAUCUCGAAAUGAAUGAAGAAAUGAAAAUUAAAAAAGUGAACCAACAAAUCCAGCAUCUAAAUUCGUGGUGUACGACAUCAUUAUUUUUCAUUUAUUGUUACUAAAAGAUGCAACAAAGUACAUCAAUUAUAUUAAACCUAACAAUGAUAUGAUAUUUGUAUGCUAUUUAACUAAAUAUUUGGACAAAGAAUCGACAUCUUUUAUUGACUUUGGUUAUAGUGGAGUCAGUGUUUAAUAUAAUUUCCGGUGUUUAGCAAGCGAACUUUCAACCUAAGUUGAACUGAGUUUAACACAACUGCAUAUAGUUCCGUCACUUCCAGGACUUGUAUUAAAAACAGUUACUAUAAAAAAGUGCAUACGAAAGCAAAUAUCCAAUGGCAAUUGGCGCUAAAAACAAAUUUGUGUGUUUUAUCAAAGUGUUUGUAGUAUAAAAAAGAUCUAGAUUCUUUCCGGGUGUGUAACACAAAUAAAUAUUUGAAUUAAUGAAUAUGUAUGGCGACACCCGAAAUCUAUUCAUUAGGUGACAAGUUGAUCUCGAAGAAAAAAAACUAACAAUGCCAAAAAAAGCUCUGUCUUUACUUUCGACAGAAUUGUAUCGUCUAUCGAUGUAUUUUUGUGAGUUAUAUAAAAUAAUGAUUGUUUUUUUUUAAAUGAAAAAAAGAAGAAAAUAUAAAGUAAUUCUUAAGUGAACACAAAAAAAAAGUUUAUACAAAAUGAUAGAAUACAAAUUAUAAAAUGAAAGUGUGUGAGAUCGAACAGAAGUGGCUAAACAGAUCAACAUAGCUAAAAACUAUAGUACCUUGAUCACACAUACAGUUUCUUUUCGGAUAUUUGAAAUGCACACAAUUCUAUAACUGAUGGAGUGGCAAUUAAAUUCUGAUUGUGAUUUUCGUAUAUCACCUUUUGUUCAGAAAUUAUAUAUACCAAAAAAAAACUGCCCGUUACGCUGGUGUAUUUAAAAUACCGAAUACUAUCGUCGUUUGAAAACGUAUAAAUAUGUGCAUUUUUGGGAAAAGGCUUAUUUUUGGAUUUAAUCUUAGUUACAUUAUUAAAAAAUAGACGAAUAAUUAAAAAAAACGCACUGCAAAAGUAAUUCACUCAAAAGAAUAUUACUUUUGUGUUGAUUUAGAUUUGGAAUUAUUGUGAAUUUGUUCUUUAUUUGUUACGUAAAAUAACAAAAUUAUUAUAUUUGGCAACACGAAAUUUUAAUUUUUGUUUGAACCGUAGGACGCAUUAUAGUUCGAAAAUUAAGUCUUUUGAUUUUAAAUAAAAAAAUGGCUCUUUGAAUUUUUUAUAAUAUAAUUUGUUUUAUUGUUAAUUUGAAAAUGAAAAAAAAAAUUAUUUAAACCAACCAAAAUCAAUGGAAAAAACCUCCCAAAGUCCUCUCGACUGCAUUCACACAAGCACAAAACUUAUAACUAUCUUGUUUCUUCAUUAUCUAUGAAUCACACGAUAAAUCGAUACUUAACGAUUUUUCGAAAGUUCAUUCCUUAAGUUAAGAAUUUAUUUAAAACUAUAAACUUAGAAUUGGAUCAUUCUUUUUGUACUAAGGCGUGUCAUUGUUUAUUAGUUUUCUUUUUUAUUCAUGAACAUAUAUUUUAAACUUUUCACCCGUUUAAUGUAAACGUGUAUUUUAAACGUAUAUUUUGAAUACAGAGCAAAGAUUUUUUUAAUAGUCACCAAAAAAUGAAAAAAAAAAAAAAAAACAUAAACAGAAUGUAAUAAAGAAACAUUUAAAUUUUGAAAAUGCAGUAAGAUCGAAAUCGAAAUGUACGAAUACAGAAACUGAAUUCAAACUCAUUUGUUUACUAAUUUAUUGAAUAAAUUUUUCAUUGUUUCGCUGACGUUUUGACUAAUUUUUGUGAAUGAAAAUACCAAAACAAAAAGACAUCGUGUUAUUAUUCGAGUUUAUGUUAGAUUUUUUUUUGUAAUUAUUUCACAAAACAAGAAACAAAAGAAAACAUGAACAAUUUCAUUCGAAAAUGAACAUAACUAUAAAUACAUUAACUCUACCUUAAAGAUUAAGACAAAAAAAAUUCAUAAAAUCAACAAAAAAAAAAAA